AUUGAACGCUGGCGGCAUGCCUUACACAUGCAAGUCGAACGGCAGCACGGGAGCAAUCCUGGUGGCGAGUGGCGAACGGGUGAGUAAUAUAUCGGAACGUGCCCAGUCGUGGGGAUAACGUAGCGAAAGCUACGCUAAUACCGCAUACGAUCUAUGGAUGAAAGCGGGGGAUCGCAAGACCUCGCGCGAUUGGAGCGGCCGAUAUCAGAUUAGGUAGUUGGUGAGGUAAAGGCGUCACCAAGCCGACGAUCUGUAGCUGGUCUGAGAGGACGACCAGCCACACUGGGACUGAGACACGGCCCAGACUCCUACGGAGGCAG
Molecule: ribosomal RNA, 320 nt
Filed under: uncultured bacterium
Lineage: Bacteria
Description: bacterial SSU rRNA
Rfam family: Bacterial small subunit ribosomal RNA
Source: RNAcentral